RNAcentral lists this long non-coding RNA (2883 nucleotides) under Pan troglodytes (chimpanzee). Its description in RNAcentral is "long non-coding RNA NONPTRT016556". Lineage: Eukaryota; Metazoa; Chordata; Mammalia; Primates; Hominidae. The record is from RNAcentral.
CUUAGACAGCCCCAGGGUGACAGUGGCCCAGCUGGACUGGGACGUAGCGAUGGUCCAUCAGCUCUCUGCCUUCCAGCCAGAUGUUGUCAUUGCAGCAGGUAAUGCCCAGCCCCGGGCAUCCUGUGCAGGCGGUGUCCUUGCAGCUCUACCCAGCUCUUGGCUCUGGGAAAAGGGAACAAUGGACCCUGUCGGGCAUGGACAUGAUGGGGCUUCCAGAAGAGUUACUCUGGGCCUCCAGGGUGACAUCAAAGGACAGGGGUGCCUCUUAAGGUGACCUUCAAGCCACAGCCCUCUUGUUGGAGACAGGCAUACUCCCGUUACAGUCGUCACCACAUGGCUGUGUCCCAGAGCCAUGCCCUGUGUCCUUCAGAGACCACAGGAGGAAAACAACCAGUUCUGGGAUGAGGACAGGGCCCUUGAGAGAAGGUGGUGUUUGGCUGGGCCACCAAAAACCCCUCACCCCUGACAGCACACUCAGUCCCCUCUCUGGUGGAACAGAGCUCUGCCUGUGGUCCUGGGUCCCAGCCCUGAAACCCACAGGUCCAGCGGUGGCCAGGGACACAGGCCCACCCCUGCAAGCCAGCAGACCAAUCGGCAGACACCUGAAACACGAAGUUCACGGCAGGGUCAGGCUUUCUGUCAUUCAAAGCCCCCUAGAUAGGCCGAGAACCAGAGCUGGUUUUUUAAGGAACACCAGUGAGUCUGGAGAUUUUUUUCUUUUGCUUCGGUCUUUUGCAGCUUUCUCUACUAAGGGUUCUCCUUUUUCACCCAAGUAAUUGCCUUUCCAUCUAAUGGCCCAAAUGGUCAAGUGGCAUCUAAUAGUCUCAUAGGACCGCUGCCUCUCUGGCCUCGCCCUGCUGCUGAGGUCAGCAUGAACUGGAACUUUCCACUUGUCCCUUUCAGUAACCUGAAGCUUUCACCGUAGACUUGCUGUAUUGCCCAGAAGCCAUCGUGUCACUGGUCGGGGUUCUGUGGAGGCUGGCUGCCUGCCAAGAGCACAAGCGGGCUCCUGAGGUCUACAUGGCCUUUACCGUCCGCAACCCAGAGACGUGCCAGCUGUUCACCACGGAGCUAGGCUGGGCUGGGAUCAGAUGGGAAGCGGAAGCUCAUCAUGACCAGAAACUGUUUCCCUACGGAGAGCACUUGGAGAUGGCAAUGCUGAACCUCACACUGUAGGACUCACACACGACUCCAACGGGAUUGUGAGAAUCAAGUCACUCUCGUGGGAAGAAUUUUUAUAUGAGAAAGGGGAUAAAACUUUCAUUGGACUGGAAUGUUUGGAGAAUGUUAAAUUCCAAAUCAGGAACCACAAACUGCCCUCUAAUAAGACAUCGGCUAUCUAAGCGUGUGGGUGCCCCCUUUCUGCCAGCAGUUCUGGUUCUUAAGAAAAUCACCAUAAAUCAGACAUGAAAAUUCUGGCUCCAAAAAUAGCAUUUUCUUUGUGCAAAUAAAAACGUGUGUAUCAACUAUGACGUUCCCCCACGUGGACACACUCGGUUCCUCAUAAAACCAAGCCUGCUGCAGCUGCCACAUCCCUGGACACAUUCGAUUCCUCACAAAGCCAAGCCCGCUGCAGUUGCCACAUCCCCGGACACACUCGGUUCCUCACAAAUCUAAGCCCGCUGCAGCUGCCACAUCCCUGGGCUUAUGGUGCAGCAGGUGCUUUUUUCAAGACAGGAAUCAAAGUGUUAGGAACAUGGAAGAAAGGUGACACCUGGAGACCAAAUGCAGGAUUGGGAGUACUGUAGAGGUCACAGGGAAGUCACAGAACAGUAAUAUGCUAGCAGGGGCAUGGGGCGUGAAGAACAGAAGACAGGAAGCGUUUCGGAGACUCCAAAGAAGAAAUCAGGGCCAACCACAGCUUCCCGGGUCAUUCACCAGGUGGCACCACUGCCGUCAUUUCAGCUUCUGGCCACUGGGAGGCGCUGCUCAAAAGGAUUUGCCCUGAGACUCCAAGAAGAAGCUGUGGGAAGGACAGCAGGGGCCCUGGGGUUUUAGCCUCUGGCCCAGGAGUUAUGUGUCCAUAACCAAAGGGAGCACAGUCUGCACCCAGCUCUCAUCCCAUCAGAGCUGCUGAGACUCCCGCAGGUUCUUCCAGAACUGGUUUAGCUUGCCUGCAGGAUCAGGAAAGUUUGAGAAAGGCAUCUGCAAAAUACUAAAGAGCAGAGCUUACCUCAUUGCCUGUCCCCACCCCAUCCCAGGUCACCACCUGGAUGACCCCAGCUCCCCGACCCAACAACAACCCCUCCCAAGUCCCUAACUCCCUCACUUGGACUUGAGACCCUUCACACCCCAGCAGCGCUCUGCCUCCAACUUGACAUCAUGCUUUCUGGAAACUUCCCCGUAUGUCCCACUUUCCCACACUUGGUGCGCUGGAGCACCUUCCGGCCUCCACAUGCUGUACGUUCCCCUGUGAGCACCGUCCUCUCAGCCUCUGGCCAACACAGUCCCACCCAUCUGUGGGUAACAAGGGGGUGUGGGUGUUCUUUACAGCCUUGCUAAACUGUCUGAAUCAAGGAUCACAAACUACAGCCUGCAGGCCAAACCCAGCCCACAGCCUGUGUUUGUAAAUAAAGCUUUGUUGGAACAAAGCCACACCCCUUAUUCUACAGAUGCUGUGGCUACUUUCGCACCACAACAGAGUACCAUGGUUCUGACAGAGACUGGGGGACCCAGUCUAAAUGACUUCUGACCUGGACCUUUACUGAAAAUCCUCCCAAUCAUUCUGUUGACAAGAAUGAUGUAUUACUUUUUGCAAUAAGAAACAAGUAACCUUUGCAGAAUUCCACCCAUCUUUCAAGGCUUGUCCCAGAAGUUCCCUUUGCCCACGCACCUACCUGAUCCUGACCACUUCCUAAACUGCAGCCCGGCCCACCCGGCUCC